This 440-nucleotide ribosomal RNA is filed under the name uncultured bacterium. Its description in RNAcentral is "partial 16S ribosomal RNA". It matches the Rfam family "Bacterial small subunit ribosomal RNA", at positions 338 to 795 of the family's 1533-position model. The record is from RNAcentral.
CCUACGGGGGGCAGCAGUGGGGAAUAUUGGACAAUGGGGGAAACCCUGAUCCAGCGACGCCGCGUGAGUGAAGAAGUAUUUCGGUACGUAAAGCUCUAUCAGCAGGAAAGAAAAUGCCGGUACCUGACUAAGAAGCCCCGUCUAACUACGUGCCAGCAGCCGCGGUAAUACGUAGGGGGCAAGCGUUAUCCGGAUUUACUGGGUGUAAAGGGAGCUUAGACGGUGCGCGAAGUCUGGAGGGAAAUGCCGCAGCUUAACUGCGGAACUGCUUUGGAAACUGGCGGACUAGAGUGCGGGAGGGGUAAGCGGAAUUCCUAGUGUAGCGGUGAAAUGCAUAGAUAUCAGGAAGAACACCGAUGGCGAAGGCGGCUUACUGGAUCGUAACUGACGUUGAGGCACGAAAGCGUGGGGAGCAAACAGGAUUAGAUACCCCAGUAGUC